ACGAACGCUGGCGGCGUGCUUAACACAUGCAAGUCGAACGGUGACGGAGAGCUUGCUCUCCUGAUCAGUGGCGAACGGGUGAGUAACACGUGGGCAACCUGCCCCAGACUUCGGGAUAACGCUUCGAAAGAGGUGCUAAUACCGAAUACGAACUCCGUGGGCAUCUACGGAGUUGGAAAGUUUUUCGGUCUGGGAUGGGCCCGCGGCCUAUCAGCUUGUUGGUGAGGUAAUGGCUCACCAAGGCGACGACGGGUAGCCGGCCUGAGAGGGCGACCGGCCACACUGGGACUGAGACACGGCCCAGACUCCUACGGGAGGCAGCAGUGGGGAAUAUUGCGCAAUGGGCGAAAGCCUGACGCAGCAACGCCGCGUGGGGGAUGAAGGCCUUCGGGUUGUAAACCUCUUUCAGCAGGGAAGAAGCGAAAGUGACGGUACCUGCAGAAGAAGCACCGGCUAACUACGU
This 463-nucleotide ribosomal RNA is filed under the name uncultured bacterium. Its description in RNAcentral is "bacterial SSU rRNA". It matches the Rfam family "Bacterial small subunit ribosomal RNA", at positions 29 to 506 of the family's 1533-position model. The record is from RNAcentral.